UUUGGUUUAAUUUGGGGAAACCCAUUUUUUCCCAGCUCUGAGCCCCAGGGGAGGCUCCUCUGAGGCUGGGGAGGCCUGGAGGAGGAUGGGUAUGAUUUAACCAGUCAAUACUCGAAGAUACAGGAGAGAGGGAACAAAAGACGCUUUAUGGGAAGCUUCAUGGAAAGGGACAUGAAUUUUGGAGUCAGGCCGACUUUCACAUCACUUUCUCCAUCUCUCAUUUGCCAGUUGUGUGACCUUAGGCCGAUCCCAUUACCUUCUGAGCCUUGGUUUCCUCACCUGUAAAAUGGGAAGAAUAAUAGCAUCUGCGCUGGAGGAGCGCUGUGUAU
RNAcentral lists this small RNA (329 nucleotides) under Pongo abelii (Sumatran orangutan). Its description in RNAcentral is "processed transcript". Lineage: Eukaryota; Metazoa; Chordata; Mammalia; Primates; Hominidae. The record is from RNAcentral.